Molecule: long non-coding RNA, 1197 nt
Filed under: Triticum aestivum (bread wheat)
Lineage: Eukaryota; Viridiplantae; Streptophyta; Magnoliopsida; Poales; Poaceae
Description: long non-coding RNA (TAES_LNC010696)
Source: RNAcentral
AGUUGACUUCUCAAAUUUUGGAUUUGUGUCAUCCAAGCACUCUUAUUUUAUCUUCCUUGGGCAAAGUUCUUGUUACAUUAUGCACUUGUGUCAUCCAAGCACUCUCAUUUUAUCUUCCUUGGGAAAAGUUCUUGCUGAAUUAUGCACUUGUGUCAUCCAAGCAGUCUAAAAUGAUUUACUAUUUGCAGCUUCUUUAGACAUAGUGCGUUGCAGUAUGUAUUAACUUCUUUUUUUGUCCACUAAUUAAUCUUAAACCUUCCUUUAUGGCAGGCAACCAAUUGUCUUUGUGGCAAUGGAUACAUAAAGAAGUACUCAACUGGUCCUUUCCUGAAAAUGCAAACUGUUUGAGGUUGGAGCUGGCACUGUAGUGAGAUAAGAAGAAUGAUAAUUAGCUCUUCAAAGAGGACUGAAACUAUUCUUUUGUCAGUCAGGUGUUGGUUGCAUAUUUCUAACUAGAGGUGAGUACCGAGUAGGAUCUAAAACGUUACCAAAAUGUUUCUGGGUUUCAUUGUUUGACGAUAUCCUAUCCAAGCCUUCCCGUUCUUUUGUAUAUGUCCAACACACUUGCAAACAAACAUCAACACACAAUUGCAUUUGAUUCACUAUUCGGUUUUUAUGUAAAAAAAAGUUAGUGCUCCUCCCAUAUUUUUUGCAAGCAGCGUAGAUCCCUGACAUAGUAACAUCUUUGUGCAACGUAUAUAAGCAUCGGACAUACUGGUUUUUACAACCUUUUGGAUUCAGCACAGGCUAUAAUACCCCUUACCACCUUUACGAGACAGGAAUGUGAUUUGCAGUUUCUUGUUAAUAUAUGACAAUUCAGCUCUAAUGCAAUACAAAAUUGGGAAGUUACAUCUCAGGGGAACCUAAUAACCUUUGUGAAUAGGCAGCGCUGCCUUUUUCUACAUUGAUUUUUUUUUUCUUCAGAUGGGGCUAUAAUGCACUGAGAGCGAGUUGUCCUUCCUUGAACUUGAGCUUCUCUUCUUCCUGCUGGUGGAUAUUAGUCUCGAUGGCUUUGCCCAUUUCUGCUGGCGAUGGCCUCGACUACACCUUGUUGGCCCUUUGCAGCACUAGGUUUCUCUUCACAGCCAGCAGGCACCUUUGCAAGGAAUCCCAAUGGGACAACGACAUCAUUCAUGUAUGGCGGAAUAGAGGCUUCCUCCUGUAUUCAUGUCUAAGAAGAGGGCCUACUAACUCAUG